This 498-nucleotide ribosomal RNA is filed under the name uncultured Lachnospiraceae bacterium. RNAcentral's name for it is "bacterial SSU rRNA". It matches the Rfam family "Bacterial small subunit ribosomal RNA", at positions 8 to 507 of the family's 1533-position model. The record is from RNAcentral. Lineage: Bacteria; Bacillati; Bacillota; Clostridia; Lachnospirales; Lachnospiraceae.
AGAGUUUGAUCCUGGCUCAGGAUGAACGCUGGCGGCGUGCCUAACACAUGCAAGUCGAGCGAAGCACUUUACUUUGAUUCUUCGGAUGAAGAGUUUUGUGACUGAGCGGCGGACGGGUGAGUAACGCGUGGGUAACCUGCCUCAUACAGGGGGAUAACAGUUAGAAAUGACUGCUAAUACCGCAUAAGACCACAGCACCGCAUGGUGCAGGGGUAAAACUCCGGUGGUAUGAGAUGGACCCGCGUCUGAUUAGCUAGUUGGUAAGGUAACGGCUUACCAAGGCGACGAUCAGUAGCCGACCUGAGAGGGUGACCGGCCACAUUGGGACUGAGACACGGCCCAAACUCCUACGGGAGGCAGCAGUGGGGAAUAUUGCACAAUGGGGGAAACCCUGAUGCAGCGACGCCGCGUGAGCGAAGAAGUAUUUCGGUAUGUAAAGCUCUAUCAGCAGGGAAGAAACUGACGGUACCUGACUAAGAAGCACCGGCUAAAUACGUG